AGGAAUAUUGGUCAAUGGACGAGAGUCUGAACCAGCCAAGUCGCGUGAGGGAAGACUGCCCUAUGGGUUGUAAACCUCUUUUAUAAGGGAAGAAUAAGUUCUACGUGUAGAAUGAUGCCUGUACCUUAUGAAUAAGCAUCGGCUAACUCCGUGCCAGCAGCCGCGGUAAUACGGAGGAUGCGAGCGUUAUCCGGAUUUAUUGGGUUUAAAGGGUGCGUAGGCGGUUUAUUAAGUUAGUGGUUAAAUAUUUGAGCUAAACUCAAUUGUGCCAUUAAUACUGGUAAACUGGAGUACAGACGAGGUAGGCGGAAUAAGUUAAGUAGCGGUGAAAUGCAUAGAUAUAACUUAGAACUCCGAUAGCGAAGGCAGCUUACCAGACUGUAACUGACGCUGAUGCACGAGAGCGUGGGUAGCGAACAGGAUUAGAUACCCUGGUAGUCCACGCCGUAAACGAUGCUCACUGGUUCUGUGCGAUAUAUUGUACGGGAUUAAGCGAAAGUAUUAAGUGAGCCACCUGGGGAGUACGUCGGCAACGAUGAAACUCAAAGGAAUUGACGGGGGCCCGCACAAGCGGAGGAACAUGUGGUUUAAUUCGAUGAUACGCGAGGAACCUUACCUGGGUUUAAAUGGGAAAUGUCGUAUUUGGAAACAGAUAUUCUCUUCGGAGCGUUUUUCAAGGUGCUGCAUGGUUGUCGUCAGCUCGUGCCGUGAGGUGUCGGGUUAAGUCCCAUAACGAGCGCAACCCUUACCGUUAGUUGCUAGCAUGUAAUGAUGAGCACUCUAACGGGACUGCCACCGUAAGGUGAGAGGAAGGCGGGGAUGACGUCAAAUCAGCACGGCCCUUACACCCAGGGCUACACACGUGUUACAAUGGCCGGUACAGAGGGCUGCUACCAGGUGACUGGAUGCCAAUCUCAAAAGCCGGUCGUAGUUCGGAUUGGAGUCUGUAACCCGACUCCAUGAAGUUGGAUUCGCUAGUAAUCGCGCAUCAGCCAUGGCGCGGUGAAUACGUUCCCG
This 1017-nucleotide ribosomal RNA is filed under the name uncultured bacterium. Its description in RNAcentral is "bacterial SSU rRNA". It matches the Rfam family "Bacterial small subunit ribosomal RNA", at positions 357 to 1376 of the family's 1533-position model. The record is from RNAcentral.